This 465-nucleotide ribosomal RNA is filed under the name Vreelandella stevensii. RNAcentral's name for it is "partial 16S ribosomal RNA". It matches the Rfam family "Bacterial small subunit ribosomal RNA", at positions 338 to 795 of the family's 1533-position model. Lineage: Bacteria; Pseudomonadati; Pseudomonadota; Gammaproteobacteria; Oceanospirillales; Halomonadaceae. The record is from RNAcentral.
CCUACGGGUGGCAGCAGUGGGGAAUAUUGGACAAUGGGGGGAACCCUGAUCCAGCCAUGCCGCGUGUGUGAAGAAGGCCCUCGGGUUGUAAAGCACUUUCAGUGAGGAAGAACGCCUGGUGGUUAAUACCCAUCAGGAAAGACAUCACUCACAGAAGAAGCACCGGCUAACUCCGUGCCAGCAGCCGCGGUAAUACGGAGGGUGCGAGCGUUAAUCGGAAUUACUGGGCGUAAAGCGCGCGUAGGUGGCUUGAUAAGCCGGUUGUGAAAGCCCCGGGCUCAACCUGGGAACGGCAUCCGGAACUGUCAAGCUAGAGUGCAGGAGAGGAAGGUAGAAUUCCCGGUGUAGCGGUGAAAUGCGUAGAGAUCGGGAGGAAUAACAGUGGCGAAGGCGGCCUUCUGGACUGACACUGACACUGAGGUGCGAAAGCGUGGGUAGCAAACAGGAUUAGAUACCCGGGUAGUC